ACGAUACGUAGCCGACCUGAGAGGGUGAUCGGCCACACUGGAACUGAGACACGGUCCAGACUCCUACGGGAGGCAGCAGUAGGGAAUCUUCCGCAAUGGGCGAAAGCCUGACGGAGCAACGCCGCGUGAGUGAUGAAGGUCUUCGGAUCGUAAAGCUCUGUUGUUAGGGAAGAACAAAUGUGUAAGUAACUGUGCACAUCUUGACGGUACCUAACCAGAAAGCCACGGCUAACUACGUGCCAGCAGCCGCGGUAAUACGUAGGUGGCAAGCGUUAUCCGGAAUUAUUGGGCGUAAAGCGCGCGUAGGCGGUUUUUUAAGUCUGAUGUGAAAGCCCACGGCUCAACCGUGGAGGGUCAUUGGAAACUGGAAAACUUGAGUGCAGAAGAGGAAAGUGGAAUUCCAUGUGUAGCGGUGAAAUGCGCAGAGAUAUGGAGGAACACCAGUGGCGAAGGCGGCUUUCUGGUCUGUAACUGACGCUGAUGUGCGAAAGCGUGGGGAUCAAACAGGAUUAGAUACCCUGGUAGUCCACGCCGUAAACGAUGAGUGCUAAGUGUUAGGGGGUUUCCGCCCCUUAGUGCUGCAGCUAACGCAUUAAGCACUCCGCCUGGGGAGUACGGUCGCAAGACUGAAACUCAAAGGAAUUGACGGGGACCCGCACAAGCGGUGGAGCAUGUGGUUUAAUUCGAAGCAACGCGAAGAACCUUACCAAAUCUUGACAUCUUUUGACCGCUCUAGAGAUAGAGUUUUCCUCUUCGGAGGACAAAAUGACAGGUGGUGCAUGGUUGUCGUCAGCUCGUGUCGUGAGAUGUUGGGUUAAGUCCCGCAACGAGCGCAACCCUUGAGCUUAGUUGCCAUCAUUAAGUUGGGCACUCUAAGUUGACUGCCGGUGACAAACCGGAGGAAGGUGGGGAUGACGUCAAAUCAUCAUGCCCCUUAUGAUUUGGGCUACACACGUGCUACAAUGGACAAUACAAAGGGCAGCGAAACCGCGAGGUCAAGCAAAUCCCAUAAAGUUGUUCUCAGUUCGGAUUGUAGUCUGCAACUCGACUACAUGAAGCUGGAAUCGCUAGUAAUCGUAGAUCAGCAUGCUACGGUGAAUACGUUCCCGGGUCUUGUACACACCGCCCGUCACACCACGAGAGUUUGUAACACCCGAAGCCGGUGGAGUAACCAUUUGGAGCUAGCCGUCGAAGGUGGGACAAAUGAUUGGGGUGAAGUCGUAACAAGGUAGCCGUAUCGGAAGGUGCGGCUGGAUCACCUCCUUUCUAAGGA
RNAcentral lists this ribosomal RNA (1273 nucleotides) under Staphylococcus chromogenes. RNAcentral's name for it is "bacterial SSU rRNA". It matches the Rfam family "Bacterial small subunit ribosomal RNA", at positions 276 to 1533 of the family's 1533-position model. The record is from RNAcentral. Lineage: Bacteria; Bacillati; Bacillota; Bacilli; Caryophanales; Staphylococcaceae.